AAUGAACGUUGGCGGCGUGGAUUAGGCAUGCAAGUCGAGCGGGUAUAGCAAUAUAUCAGCGGCGAAAGGGAGAGUAACGCGUAGCUACGUACCCCAGAGACCGGAAUAGCCAGCCGAAAGGCUGGGUAAUGCCGGAUGAUGUCCCUGGACUAAAGGGUGUGAUUCCGCUUUGGGAGCGGGCUGCGUUGUACUAGCUUGUUGGUAGGGUAAUGGCCUACCAAGGCGAUGAUGCAUACCGGGCGUGAGAGCGUGGCCCGGCUCACUGGGACUGAGACACUGCCCAGACACCUACGGGUGGCUGCAGUCGAGAAUCUUCGGCAAUGAGCGCAAGCUUGACCGAGCGACGCCGCGUGCGGGAUGAAGGCCUUCGGGUUGUAAACCGCUGUCGUAGGGAGGAAGGCUCCGUGAAGAACGGGGUUUGACCUAUCCUAGGAGGAAGUACGGGCUAAGUUCGUGCCAGCCGCCGCCGUAAUAC
This 475-nucleotide ribosomal RNA is filed under the name uncultured bacterium. RNAcentral describes it as "bacterial SSU rRNA". It matches the Rfam family "Bacterial small subunit ribosomal RNA", at positions 28 to 526 of the family's 1533-position model. The record is from RNAcentral.